Verruconis gallopava is the source of this 100-nucleotide transfer RNA. It matches the Rfam family "tRNA". Rfam says of the family: Transfer RNA (tRNA) molecules are approximately 80 nucleotides in length. Their secondary structure includes four short double-helical elements and three loops (D, anti-codon, and T loops). Lineage: Eukaryota; Fungi; Ascomycota; Dothideomycetes; Venturiales; Sympoventuriaceae. The record is from Rfam.
GGCACCGUGGCCUAAUGGUAAGGCGUCGCUUUCCGGUUUCUUCCCGCGCAGCGAAGUUGGAGUCUGGCGAAGAUUGUGGGUUCGAGUCCCAUCGGUGUCG